RNAcentral lists this ribosomal RNA (450 nucleotides) under uncultured bacterium. RNAcentral describes it as "partial 16S ribosomal RNA". It matches the Rfam family "Bacterial small subunit ribosomal RNA", at positions 354 to 796 of the family's 1533-position model. The record is from RNAcentral.
GUGGGGAAUAUUGGACAAUGGGCGAAAGCCUGAUCCAGCCAUGCCGCGUGUGUGAAGAAGGUCUUCGGAUUGUAAAGCACUUUAAGUUGGGAGGAAGGGCAGUAAGUUAAUACCUUGCUGUUUUGACGUUACCGACAGAAUAAGCACCGGCUAACUUCGUGCCAGCAGCCGCGGUAAUACGAAGGGUGCAAGCGUUAAUCGGAAUUACUGGGCGUAAAGCGCGCGUAGGUGGUUUUGUAAGUUGGAGGUGAAAUCCCCGGGCUCAACCUGGGAACUGCCUCCAAAACUGCAUGACUAGAGUACGGUAGAGUGUAGUGGAAUUUCCUGUGUAGCGGUGAAAUGCGUAGAUAUAGGAAGGAACACCAGUGGCGAAGGCGACUACCUGGACUGAUACUGACACUGAGGUGCGAAAGCGUGGGGAGCAAACAGGAUUAGAUACCCCGGUAGUCC